ACGCCAGUGGUGUAGUGGUAUCAUACAAGAUUCCCAUUCUUGCCACCCGGGUUCGAUUCCCGGCUGGCGCA
RNAcentral lists this transfer RNA (71 nucleotides) under Lepisosteus oculatus (spotted gar). It matches the Rfam family "tRNA". From Rfam's summary of the family: Transfer RNA (tRNA) molecules are approximately 80 nucleotides in length. Their secondary structure includes four short double-helical elements and three loops (D, anti-codon, and T loops). Lineage: Eukaryota; Metazoa; Chordata; Actinopteri; Semionotiformes; Lepisosteidae. The record is from Rfam by way of RNAcentral.